RNAcentral lists this ribosomal RNA (151 nucleotides) under uncultured bacterium. RNAcentral describes it as "partial 16S ribosomal RNA". It matches the Rfam family "Bacterial small subunit ribosomal RNA", at positions 338 to 507 of the family's 1533-position model. The record is from RNAcentral.
CCUACGGGAGGCAGCAGUCGAGAAUAUUGGGCAAUGGGCGAAAGCCUGAUGGAGCAACGCCGCGUGCAGGAUGAAGGCCUUCGGGUUGUAAACUGCUUUUGUUUGUGAAGAUUAUGACGGUAACAGACGAAUAAGGUCUGCUAACUACGUG